Molecule: long non-coding RNA, 412 nt
Filed under: Homo sapiens (human)
Lineage: Eukaryota; Metazoa; Chordata; Mammalia; Primates; Hominidae
Description: HSALNT0262531
Source: RNAcentral
GCAGGAUCGGGCGGAGGGACGGGAGGGGAAGUCGAGGCGCCAGGGCUCCUUGGGGAAGUGAAGGCAAUAGGAGGGGCCCCAGGGCCAGGGGACAGGCGGUGUGUAGCGGGAUGGGGGCGAAAACGCCCGGGCGCUGGGGUUCCCAUAAACAAGGGGAGCAGAGCAAAAGAACGGGCGGGGGACCACGCUGUGUGUAACAGGGAGAGGGAUGGGGCUCCUGGAAGAGGUGAACACGAGGAGAAAGAGAGAUGCCAGACGUACACAGAAAGGAGGGGAAAGUGGGCUUGGGAGAGGUGCUGUGGGAAGCGGAGUCCCGGAGCCUGGUGUGCAUAACGGGGUUUGGGAGAAGGCCCCUGAUGGGUACAGAAAGAAGUAACGAUGUCACCGCCAUAUAUGGGGGGCGAGAGAAAAG